Molecule: microRNA, 21 nt
Filed under: Gallus gallus (chicken)
Lineage: Eukaryota; Metazoa; Chordata; Aves; Galliformes; Phasianidae
Description: gga-miR-1561
Source: miRBase by way of RNAcentral
GCCGGGUUUGCGGCCGCUUUU